This 73-nucleotide transfer RNA is filed under the name Felis catus (domestic cat). It matches the Rfam family "tRNA". Rfam says of the family: Transfer RNA (tRNA) molecules are approximately 80 nucleotides in length. Their secondary structure includes four short double-helical elements and three loops (D, anti-codon, and T loops). Further hydrogen bonds mediate the characteristic L-shaped molecular structure. tRNAs have two regions of fundamental functional importance: the anti-codon, which is responsible for specific mRNA codon recognition, and the 3' end, to which the tRNAs corresponding amino acid is attached (by aminoacyl-tRNA synthetases). tRNAs cope with the degeneracy of the genetic code in two manners: having more than one tRNA (with a specific anti-codon) for a particular amino acid; and 'wobble' base-pairing, i.e. permitting non-standard base-pairing at the 3rd anti-codon position. The record is from Rfam by way of RNAcentral. Lineage: Eukaryota; Metazoa; Chordata; Mammalia; Carnivora; Felidae. RNAcentral also lists the same sequence under 6 other names.
GCUUGGCUGGCUCAGUCAGUAGAGAAUGAGACUCUUGAUCUCAGGGUUGGGAGUUCAAGCCCCACACUGAGCA